UGGCUCAGAGCGAACGCUGGCGGCAGGCCUAAUACAUGCAAGUCGAACGGUCUCUUCGGAGGCAGUGGCGGACGGGUGAGUAACGCGUGGGAACGUGCCCUUUGGUACGGAACAACUGAGGGAAACUUCAGCUAAUACCGUAUGUGCCCUUCGGGGGGAAAGAUUUAUCGCCAUUGGAGCGGCCCGCGUUGGAUUAGCUAGUUGGUGGGGUAAUGGCCCACCAAGGCGACGAUCCAUAGCUGGUCUGAGAGGAUGAUCAGCCACACUGGGACUGAGACACGGCCCAGACUCCUACGGGAGGCAGCAGUAGGGAAUCUUGCGCAAUGGGCGAAAGCCUGACGCAGCCAUGCCGCGUGAAUGAUGAAGGUCUUAGGAUUGUAAAAUUCUUUCACCGGGGACGAUAAUGACGGUACCCGGAGAAGAAGCCCCGGCUAACUUCGUG
Molecule: ribosomal RNA, 442 nt
Filed under: uncultured bacterium
Lineage: Bacteria
Description: bacterial SSU rRNA
Rfam family: Bacterial small subunit ribosomal RNA
Source: RNAcentral